Molecule: long non-coding RNA, 1951 nt
Filed under: Cyanistes caeruleus (blue tit)
Lineage: Eukaryota; Metazoa; Chordata; Aves; Passeriformes; Paridae
Description: lncRNA (ENSCCEG00000005980.1)
Source: RNAcentral
CACAGCACAGUCAAGGCUGACUACCUAAAAAAAAUGCGUUAGGAUAAUCUCCUACAUAACCACUCUUCCAGGCUCCUCCUUUGGUAGCUGUCAGUGACAUGACUAAGUAAUCUCAUGCCAGCCCUGUGUAAACAGCGUGCCAUCACAAGCAGGGAAUUUACCAGCACCCUCCUGGCUGGCUCAGUGGACUAAACCCCUGGAAAUGGGCUACAGUCACUAGAAAUGUCAGGCCAAGCUCAGGUACGCUAUAUGUGGGCAGAAAUAGAGGUCUAGAGGAUGGUGCUCACUCUACAUGAAGGCCAGUUUUGCCCUGGGGCCUGAAACCUAAAUGAAGCAUUAAAUGAAGCAAUGCAUGAUGGCAGAUUGAACAGAUACUAUUCAUGUGUCACGGCUAAAUAGAAGAGAUUGAAUUUUAAGACUGUCUAGUCUUUCCAUGGUAGCUGAACCAUGUAAAGUUGAAAAUUCAAACCAGCCAAAAAAAUCAGAUCCCGUGAUUAGAGGAUUUUUGGAAUGUCAUUUCAGUCAAUAUUGUUCCCCACAAAUUAAGUCUUGCUAGUAGGAUGGAAGCCACCAGACCACUGUCAAAAAGAUAAGAAAUGCCUGCCUUUCCUGGGCCCUUCCUAGAUGGCUGUGACACCGCAGGGAUACUGCAGUCACAGUGUGCCAUGAGAGCAGGAAAUUCACUGCAUCUUGCUUUUGGGGGACAACAAACUUGACUGCAGUGGAGAACACAGGAGAGCUUGGACAACUGCACUUCAGAGAAUAAAACCUGCAUGCCAAGCUCACAAACAGAACUGCCUUUGACUGUCUUUCUGCUGAUAAACACAGCAAAGUGUCCAUCCAUUCUUGCAGUCCCGGGAGUCACUGUAAUGACAAUGUUAUGUGCAACCAAAGCAGCGCCAGGAGGUGCAGACUGGAGUGUGACAGAACAGAAUGUCCCUGAGCAGCAGCUGGUGGCCAGGAAGCUGGGAGCACAUACUCAAGAAAUGCCUCUCGGAACCAAGAGCAGAGAAGCCCUAAGAACCAUCUCUCUGAAAAAGACACCAUGGAGCAGGAAUCUAUGAGUCCCCCUGAGGACUUGUGUAUCCUGGCAUCAGGCACAACUUCUGACAACAAUCUUGCAAACUUGACCAAAAUGGUGAGGGCCAAGCCAACCACUUCCUGCCAUAGACAUCACUGCUGCAUGGGUCUUCAGGGAAAGUGUUGCCCUCCCUUAGAGUCAAUCAACUCCAGGAUAAUUCACUUCUCUCAGUAAUAUGCACAAGAGGACUUGUUUCUUCUUUUUUGGGCCCAUCAUCUAAUUCAAACACCUUCCUACCUCAAACUGACAAAAUGCAGGGCAACUACAGGAAGAUUUCUUGGCCUGUUGCUGUAGGCCUGUUGCUCAUCGUGGGGGCGCAAACACCAAAAUGCAGGCUGAGAGAAAAGAGGCAGAGGUGAUAUAAAGGGAUGCAGCUGGGAAGGUGGUGAGAACUGCCAGCAUCAGAGCCACCUUGACCCCAGGUAGGAUGAUAGUUGUGCCUGUCACAGCAAGGAUGGGGUAACUUCUCUAGGGGGAACCUUGUCUUUGCCUUGCGGUACUGCCACUGCAUCUGCAGUGGCCUUCAGGAAGAGUGUUCAUUUUGGUCCAAAGAUGAACCUCCACCCUCCAGUCUUGUAAUCAACCCUCUGUCCUCAGCUGGGUUUCUGCAGUCCAGAAAAAGGGCUUGAUCUGCUCUUUGUUUGUGUCCUGCAACCUGGGCAGCCAAGAGAGGCACGAAGUAUCUCAGCUGGCUGUCUUAAAGGUGCCUGCUGUCAUUCAGGAGAGGCUAAGAGGACAUGGCUCCAUAAUGUCCACAGACAGUUCCAGCAAGUGCUUGAAGGAAUGUUUGCCUCAUUUUCUAGGACAUGAAUCUGAAAAACACUCACUGGAUAUUAAAAACAAUAAACAUUUGUUAGAUAAUAAAUCCCA